RNAcentral lists this ribosomal RNA (536 nucleotides) under Vibrio parahaemolyticus O1:K56. Its description in RNAcentral is "bacterial SSU rRNA". It matches the Rfam family "Bacterial small subunit ribosomal RNA", at positions 1 to 516 of the family's 1533-position model. The record is from RNAcentral. Lineage: Bacteria; Pseudomonadati; Pseudomonadota; Gammaproteobacteria; Vibrionales; Vibrionaceae.
AAAUUGAAGAGUUUGAUCAUGGCUCAGAUUGAACGCUGGCGGCAGGCCUAACACAUGCAAGUCGAGCGGAAACGAGUUAUCAGAACCUUCGGGGGACGAUAGCGGCGUCGAGCGGCGGACGGGUGAGUAAUGCCUAGGAAAUUGCCCUGAUGUGGGGGAUAACCAUUGGAAACGAUGGCUAAUACCGCAUGAUGCCUACGGGCCAAAGAGGGGGACCUUCGGGCCUCUCGCGUCAGGAUAUGCCUAGGUGGGAUUAGCUAGUUGGUGAGGUAAGGGCUCACCAAGGCGACGAUCCCUAGCUGGUCUGAGAGGAUGAUCAGCCACACUGGAACUGAGACACGGUCCAGACUCCUACGGGAGGCAGCAGUGGGGAAUAUUGCACAAUGGGCGCAAGCCUGAUGCAGCCAUGCCGCGUGUGUGAAGAAGGCCUUCGGGUUGUAAAGCACUUUCAGUCGUGAGGAAGGUAGUGUAGUUAAUAGCUGCAUUAUUUGACGUUAGCGACAGAAGAAGCACCGGCUAACUCCGUGCCAGCAGCC